GACGAACGCUGGCGGCGUGCUUAACACAUGCAAGUCGAACGGAAAGGCCCUGCUUUUGUGGGGUGCUCGAGUGGCGAACGGGUGAGUAACACGUGAGUAACCUGCCCUUGACUUUGGGAUAACUUCAGGAAACUGGGGCUAAUACCGGAUAGGAGCUCCUGCUGCAUGGUGGGGGUUGGAAAGUUUCGGCGGUUGGGGAUGGACUCGCGGCUUAUCAGCUUGUUGGUGGGGUAGUGGCUUACCAAGGCUUUGACGGGUAGCCGGCCUGAGAGGGUGACCGGCCAAAUUGGGACUGAGAUACGGCCCAGACUCCUACGGGAGGCAGCAGUGGGGAAUAUUGCACAAUGGGCGGAAGCCUGAUGCAGCAACGCCGCGUGCGGGAUGACGGCCUUCGGGUUGUAAACCGCUUUCGCAUGUGACGAAGCGUGAGUGACGGUAAUGGGUAAAGAAGCACCGGCUAAGUACGUG
RNAcentral lists this ribosomal RNA (468 nucleotides) under uncultured bacterium. RNAcentral's name for it is "partial 16S ribosomal RNA". It matches the Rfam family "Bacterial small subunit ribosomal RNA", at positions 28 to 507 of the family's 1533-position model. The record is from RNAcentral.